Long non-coding RNA from Mustela erminea (ermine), 8707 nucleotides. RefSeq lists it as uncharacterized. Lineage: Eukaryota; Metazoa; Chordata; Mammalia; Carnivora; Mustelidae. The transcript has 5 exons. The record is from RefSeq and is a predicted model, not a curated record.
UUUCUGGGAAACAGCAGAACUAAACAGUGUGUAAGACUGUUUUAUUUAAAAAAAUAAUUUCUUUGCUUAGGUUUCCUCUUUCCGCAUUGUUAGUCAGUUCAGUCUGCUGUCUGGGAUGGGUGGUGUUUUUUACACCAGAAUUUAUCUUCAUAAACUUAAUAUCUGGAGUGCCUCGUGAGCAGAGUUGGGGGUUUUGUGCACCACCAGGACUUUCUGGCCUCAAGGACUGCAGAGGAGGAGGUGGAUGGAGUGCAGUGGUGAAGGCGGGGGCGAGCGCGGGCUCAGUGUUUAUGUGCAUAAUUCACGUACUAGAGAUGCCCAGCGGGUCCUUACAGUCAGCCUGGGAAAGUAGAUGUGAUUAUUCUCAUGUUGCAGGGAACGAACUGGAGUCCCAGAGAGGUUAAGUACCUUGUGCAAGGUGACAGCCAAAGAGUGCAAAAACUGAAUGCAGGUUUUUUUAAGCUGUCAAGCCCCUGCUUUUCACCCUCCUCCCUGACUACACAAGGACCUCCUGCCCUCAGCUGGUGGACAGCAAAUUCUGGCAGGCCUUUUGGACCAUUUGUUCCUAGGACCCAGAGGACUUCCUUCAGACAGUGGAGAACACAGGACACAGAGAAGCCUCCCUCAUCCCUCCUCCAGAAUCACGCCCUGAGCCGUGGCUCUGGGUUGCUGAGUGCCGCUUCUGCCUCCCCUGGCCUCGCUUCCCGCACAGGUGCACGCAGACCUCAGGGGCACAGGAGCUGUCUGCCCUCCCGUGGCGCAUCCCCAGGGCCAAGGGGCCAGGAAGGUUCUCCAGCAGCUUGGAAGGAGAGGGCUGCCCAAGAGACCCUAACAGUCAGUGCAAGAGGAUGUGACCCGGGGGCUAAGAGGCCAGCUGUGUUUGUGAUGGAAGACCCCACAAGGCGCGCAGCACUGGAGGCUCGCCAGCUGGAGGACGGGGGUCCCGGACAGUCCAGGUCGCCCUGUGCUGUACGUUAUUUCCCGGGUCAGACCAGGUCUUAAUGGCAGGAAAGCAUGUAGGAGACUAGAUCAGUUGUAUUUCUGUAACGCCGCCUCGGAGCUGGGGGGUUACUUCAUGCCUUCUGUGGGGAGCUCCCCUCGGUGGGAGUUGGCCAGCUGGCCCACGACCUGUCCUGUGCAGCCCAUGCACCAGUGGCAGUUUUCACGCUUCCAAAUGGUUGGAGAAGUUAUAAGGCUGUUGUGAGACUUUGGUGUGCACCAAGAAAGCCAUGGCGGAAGGUGCGCCCCUCGCUCCUGCUUCUGCGGACAUCAGAGGAGCGGGUCCUGGCCCUUCGCAGAACCAUGUGUCCAGGCCCACAGCACUUCCUACCUCCCUCAACACGCUCAGCUCGCAGUCUGCUUGAGAGUCUCUCUCUGUCCCUUCCCCUUGCAUGUCCGCUCCCUCUUUCUCUCUCCAUAAUAAAUACAUCUUUGCCAACAAAACAGUGCUAGUCAUUCCAGCAGGGGCGCUGGCAGGGGCUGGCAGUGUUCUGUUUCUUGCUCUGGGUGCUGGUGACGAGGUGUCCUCAGCUUGUGAAGAUUCCGUAAAUUGAUCACUUACUCACUUACGUACUCUUUCUGGCAUGCGUGUUACAGUGAAUGAAAUUUUAAAAAUUUUAAAUUUAAACUUAAUUUAAAUUUAAAUUGUUAAUUGUUAACUUAUACUGCAUUAUUAGUUGCAGGGGUGGAAUGUAACGAUUCAUCAGUUGCACAUAACGCCCAGUGCUCACAUUACAUCCAGUGCCCUUCUUCAUGCCCGUCACCCAAUAGUAAGAAACCUUGCUGAGUGAUUUGACUUCCAAAGCCAACUGCAUAUAAAGGGAGAGCACCAGGGGGAGAGAUUUCCUUGGUGGUGGUGGUGGAACAGUUCUGUAUCUUGAUUGUGGCAGUGGUGACACAAACUUUCCUACUGAUGGGGUUAAGUUGGGUAACGUACACAUUCACAAAAGGAGUGUACAGGGCGCUGGGAACGCUGGCCUGUAUCAGCAGGAUGAUACUGAUGUCAGUUGCCUGGUAGGAGUUAUGUACGGUGGUAAGCACUGGGGGAAGAGGGAUGGAGGGCAUAGAGGAAUCCACGGCUUCCGUAACCUCCCAUGAGCUUUUAAGUAUUUCAAGAUCAAAAGUUGGAAGAUGCUGAGGGGAAACAGCCAGCUUUGUGAUCAACAGUGCCAUACUAAAAGUUCUUCCAUUAAAGUCAGCAACAACGACAACCAGGAUUUCUCCAACGGAGCAGUCUCUCUUUUUGAGGUGAGUUUAGGGAAUGGCCAAAUUUCUUGUAUUUGAAGCCUACUUAGUACUGUCACCUCUGUCCUGAAGGUGACAAGCCCAGAGUUGCAGGCCCGAGGUCUUAGCACAACAGGAAAAAAUCACACAGUCUUGCCUAAUCUGACACAACACCCGUGAAAACCAUGUCCCCUGCAUCACUAGGACAGGAGAUUUGUCUAUGACCUGCACUGUGGCAAGUCCUUCCUAGUUAGCUGAAAAAAGGGAUGGAUGAUAAGUAAAUCAUCAGACUGCCAAUUUCCAAACACAUUUCCACUCAUUUAUACAUAUCACCUGAAAACAGAAUAUGCUGGUAGCCUUUCAGUGCCCUUAGAUGAAGCAGGACCUGCUGUUUUUCCAGAGAGGUUUCCCAGACUUCCAUCAAUGAAAACCAGGCUAAUUUGCUUUUCAAUUUGUUGCAGGCUAAACUAAGAAUGAAACUGUAGCAUUUACAUUUACUGAUAGAGAAUGGAAGAAAUAGGAGGAAGACGAAAGUAACACUUGACCAGAGGCCUAGGCCCAGUAUGUAAAGAACCCUCAAGUUGAGAGGGAAGUGGAUAACCUGGUAAUCAAGUAAUUUUAAAAAUCAACAGCAGGUUCAGCAGAACAGUAGGCAUCGUCUACAUAGAGCAGGCCUUCCUGGGUUCUUUGAUUCCCACAUUCAGUGCCCUUCAUGCAUUUUCUGACCCUGUCCCGUUGUAGAGGAAGAGCAGUGUGAAAUGCAGAUUCUGGCGUCCUGAGAGUCUGACCAGCCUCCGUCCUGCAUGUGGAAGGAGCUAGUGUACUUCCAUUCAGACAUUCCUUUCAAGGUUUCUCACCCAUAUAAAUUUGUUGGAGUUUUUGGCUUCUCCUUUCAACUGGUUAUAAUGCCCUUACCAGCUUCCUCAAUAAUGAGUUAAAUAAAAUAACUACCAUAGGUUCCUUUUUUAAAAAACCAAACCAGGUGAAAAGAAAUGCAUGAACUCAGUGGAAUGGCAGAGGGAAACACAUAUCCAGUGGCACAGUUCUUUCUUCCAGUGAAAAGCUUAAUAAUAAAAUAAAAAAUAAUGAGCACUGAGUGAAAAUAUAGGAUACAUUGUUAAAGUAACUAACAGUGGUUAUAUCCAAAUAGUAGGAUUUCAGGGAAUUUCUUCCUCAUACUUCUCUUUAUCAGAAAAAACUCAAACUGGAGGAAAAGUACAUAAUGGACAAUAGUGGAGUGAGUAGAAAUUUGAGAAAGCUGGAGAAUGCCCCUUUCUCACACUUACAAACCAUGUAAAUUUUCAGUCUGAUUCAGCGAACAUUUACUGAGCACAAACCAUGGGACAGAUCUUUGUGAAGAUGCUAGGGUACAGAAUUUCACAUGCAGGCUCCUGGCCCACGGCAUUCACUGACCAGCAGCUCUCUGGGGAGGGAGCACUAUUUACACCUGCAGGAGAGGAAGAAUAAUUUUCCUUCUGCCCUUCUGAGUUCUUGGCUAAAUAAAAGCUAGAGAAAAAAAAAACAAAAAAAAAAAAACAGGAGCUUAUUACCAUGUAUGCCUCAGGUGUACAGGAGAGAUGCCCAGGAAAGAAUGAGGAACUCAGAGAAGCAGCUUGAAACUCUGGCUGAUGUAGCGUCCUCAACAAAGAGCAGUACAUUUGUGGAGAAAAGACAGGACAGAGGAAAGCAUUUGUAGGCUUUCAAGGGCUGAGACAAAAGCCAGUUGGUAAAAUCUGUCCUGUAGAUUCCUUUAGUGUCUCUCCAGGCCCACAGCGUCUAGAGUUGUCACCGGGGAUCAACAUUUAUCCUUCCUACUGCAGGGGUGGGGGCACCCGUGUAAAUUAGGUCCUGCUUUUAAGAAAGUAGGAGAAGGGCAGAGAGCUUUUCUGGUAUCUGUUUCUUUUAGACAUCUUCAGCUCAUGGUAAUUGCUAUACCAAAGCAGCAUACUUUGGGAUAGCAUAUUCUGCUGUUUUUCAUGCAUUAUGUGAACUGGGCUAAUAGUAUCCAGUAUAAACAGAAAUGAUGAACUGGAAAGGAGGAAACCACAACCAAAAAACCUUAACACAGAAACAGGAAAUUCUGUUAAUGCAACAUUUAUUAAUUAUACACACACACGCACAACUCUGCUGACGAGACUGAUACACAUACACAAUUAUCAAAAACUGGAAAACAGUUCUAGGCACAUUUAAAAAGCAGAACGUUCCCACUACACUUAUUCCCAGGUUUUAUCCUACAAAAUAAAGCACACACACAAAGUCACAGCAUCAAUAUUAUUCAAGUAAAGAGCUAACAUAGCUGCACAUGAAUGAUUAAAACCCUGGGCUGCAGCCUUUGGAGAAGGCAGGCCUGUGGCAAAAUCUAAAACUAACAGUUUAACAGUAAAACCAGAUUUAUUUGCAUUGUGCUUCCAAUGCUUAUUUUCACAGUCUCUCCCUAAGAAUAAAGGAGAAAAGAGAACAACACCUGACAUAAAAUCGUGUUUGAAAGCCACUCAAAGGGGUAAGUGCAGAUAAGCUAUUUCAACGAGAAUCCCUGCCUAGCUGGGGGAAGUGAAUGGAGUAGUUUUCUCGAGGCCAACAGACUCCUGUUAUCCAGGUAAUUUCUGAUCACAGGAUCAUUGUUGGCAAGUUCUUGGUGAGAACUCGUUGGAGCAAUGCCCAGAAAAGUACCUUUUACACAGGUGUUCAAUGAAAUAAAACAGUGCCUGAUAAACGCAGGAAGAUCAGAUCUCCCUCAGCAUCAGUAGCUCUACUACACCUCAGGUUGGCAAGCUUUUUCCGUAAGCGGCGAGUCCAUACUAUGGGCUUUGCAGGCCGUACUGUUGGUCUGUGUUGCCAGUACUCAACUCUGCCGGGAGACCAGCCGCAGAUCCGAUGUUGAAUGAAUGGGCAUGGCUGUGUUUCACCGCAGCUCUAUGGAUGGAAUCUGAAGUUGGAAUUUCUUUAAUUUUGUGAUAUGAAAUACCGUCCUUUUGAUUUUGCCCCCAAUCAUUUGGAAAUACAAACCUAUUCUCAGCUCUGGGCUACACAGAAACAGGUGGUGGGUUAGGUCUGGCUUGUGAGCUCUUGUCUGCCAACCACUGCCUGACUUCACCACACAGGGUCACCUUAUUGGAAAAUACCCGCCCCCCCGAAAUGUUCAGUUAGAGACACUUUUCUUCUUCCCACAACCCAGAACAGUUUUACUCAACAGGAACCUAGUUCCUUCCCAAAUCACUUUAAAUACAUAAUUAAAGACAUUGCAGUGAGUCUCUGGACCUCGAUUUAUGGACCCAGGGGGGCCAAAUAAGCAAGAAAACUCCAGUCUGCCGCCCAGACAAGGAAUCCACUGGCUUACCAAGCUAUCCACAUAUGUGAAUGCAUUCUCCUAACACCUCCUGGUGUCCGUGUUCCAGACUUCUAACAAAUAAUGUUACAGCAUCUUUAUUGUUGAAAUAGAUGGAUACAUCCAAAUCUUAAGUAAUUAGAAAGAUAUAGAAAACCACUUAAAACUAUAAAAGAAAGAAACCAUCAGUAUGCUGCACAUGUGAUUCUGGACAGGGUGUGGCUGAGAUAUGUCAGCCUGAGGCGGAGGUCAGCUUGUCUCUCCUGUGGGAAUCGGGAGACGGCUGGUGUGAGGCAGGCUAACAGAAGGGAGCGCCAGGACCAGAGGUGAGUUCCUCUGUGCCCACGGGCAUUCCAGACAGUGACUUAACCUCGGCUCCCCAGGGGUAGAGGGAACGAUGCUAACUAGCAGGGGGCAGGGAGGGGACCCCCGUCCCCAGCACACCUGCCCUCAAGCUCUCCUUCCAAUGCCCAGAAUAUCCACGGAAUGACAGUGGAUUCCACACAUGGUGGGAAAGGAAAGCUCCAUCACUGCUUAUUCAGCCUGAUUCCUUUUCCUCAGUGUCUGAGUACGGACAGGAGAUGUGUCCAGAAAAGCUUAGAAUUUUCCGAAUCAGAGUUCCUCUUUCAGAGUGACAGGAAACACCAGUCAUUUUUGUUUUAAAUAACGAACUGUAAAAACUCUUACUGGAUAAAGGGUACCUGCCAUUCGAGGCCUCACACCCCUUCCGCUAGGUGGAUGGGCCCUUAUGGAAAUCUCUUUUCCUCUCAGGUUCGCUGUGGGGAGACGGUUUGUCCUCCUGGAGGUGAGGGAGCAGCACCCCGAGAGGACGGGAAGAGAGGCUGCAGGGGACAACCGCCUUGUCUCAGAAGUCCACAACCUCUGGUCCACUGGAGCCGUCCACUCGUCUCCAUUCUCAGCGGAAUAUUCUAUGGCACUUCAGGAAAGAUUGUGAAAGGAACGUGCAUUCCAGAACUGAGGAGGUACAAGAGAGAGCUCUCAGCCACUUCACAUGCAACAAAUAAUGGGAACUCGUGGCUCCCCAACGCCUCGGGAUUGUCAGAGAGGAACCUCUGUCAUGUCAUGGUAAGGGACACCAUCCAAAAAGUCUCUGGACGGCGAUCAGAUGUUACUUUAUCCCACAGACCUCUUAACUCCCCACUGCAAAUCUCCCUAAGAAGGGUGAUGAAGAUGAACUAGUAUUUUCAUAUGCCAUAGGAGAGAAAAUACUAGGAUGACGUCUGUGUUAAGUCAGUGAAGUCUGAUUUAAGUCACGUACCUUUCCAGUCGCUGUUGAGCCAGUAAAGGAUAUUUUGGACACUAGAGGAUCAGUACAAAGUGCUUCCCCUACUUCCUUUGCCUUCUUUCUAGAGCAGGGAAUAACAUUGUACACACCUGGGGGAAUGCCAGCCUGGUUUGCAAGCUAUAAAGAGAAACAGCAAACAGGGGGCAGCAAAUGAUCAAACUGGAAAAACAGAAAAAGAGAAAUAGAUGUUUUAAUCCAAAACGUAACGCGGGGUGAAAAAAAACCAAAGCUGACUUUGGGGACAGAAUAAGAAUACAUUUGGAACUACUCAGAACUGAAAUAAGAUCCUUAUUCAUGCUAAAGUGAUACUAAAUGUGUUGUUACACAAUUAAAUAUUUUAUAGCAUGAAUUUCAAUGCCACGUUUUAAAAAUUAUUUUAACUAAAUUUUUAAUGCCACUUCGGUUAAAACAAAACAAAACAACCCUUGGAUUUCUUUCCCGGGAAAAGUCAGGAGAGAGUUCCAGAAGUUUUGGGUUCACCUGUAGAAGGACCGAAGGGAGAGGGUGCACCCAGAGCACCGCCUGAUAGGGGGGAGCGGUCAGGCCAUCCCGCAGGGGACCCCGGGGCAGUGAUGAUGACUGGGAGGCCUCGUGGGGGGAUUGUGCGCAUGCCGCAGGCCAGGGAGAAACGGAGCCAGCGCGCGGACCCACCGCUGCCUGGGCCGGAAACCUGUGCUCUUUCCACAGCGGCCCUCUUUGGACGGGGCAUAUUGGCAUUACCAUUACUUCCGAAUUUUGUAAAAAUGCGCACUGUGCAAAUCUGGGGAUUCUGGGAAGACGGUGGGAACAGUGGAGUGUUGCAGAGUAAUUUCAUCUUGUGAAAAUAGGGCAGUUACGGGGCCAAACCAAAGCAUCAGAGACAACAUUCCCAAGACAGGAUGUGGUGGGGGCCCAGGACAGUUGUGUUUUACUGCAGCGCAGGCCGACUUCAGGUCUGACCGCCCGGGCAUCCACUUAAAUGCGUGUGUGGGGCACACACUGCCCGCCACGCCGCGAAGAUGAGGAGCCAGGCAGCCCUCCCUCUGAAGUUUUGGAAAACGGAGGGUUUGGCAACUGGCUUUUUUGCCUGACCAGGGGGUGUGGACACGCUGGUGACAGCUGGGAGCAGCAGCACCUGCGGGAGAAGCUGUAGAGGAAGCCGUCUGACGAGUCCAGAGAACCGCCCUGGAACCGGGGCAGGCCGGCCUCAACGGCCCACGGACUGCCCAGCCCAAGAGCAGGGCGAAACGUAAGGAACAGCUGAGCGCACAGCGGUAAGUAUCGGGCUGCUGCUUUCCCCCGAGAUCCCCUAGGAGUUCACAAGGUGCGAAACGAGGUCCUAAAACACGCAAAAAGAAAGACGUGAGACAAUGAAAACCAUGUCCCCAGUGGGCGACGGACCCACACUGCAGCUCAGGGAAGCAGGGACGGCGGCAGGGUGCGUGCUCUGACCUCGCAAGGGCAGACGCAACCCUAGGGCUAGACCUGGAGGAGGGGGCGGGAGAGGGAACACAAACCAGCGGCGGGCAGGGUGGAGACAGGCCUGGGGGAGGAGGGCAAGAGGGGAGGGUCCGGGCUGCCUCACAGAGGAGCUCCACCAGAGCCCACCUUUCCCUGCAGCAUAGGUGGACCCGCCUCGCUCGGGUAUGUGGAGGCCCCUCCCACUCCUCAGCAGGACCCUGCGAGGUCUUUCCCAGGAGGAAGGUUCUCUGAGAAGACUCAAGCCUCCCCAGGACAGGCUGACGCCACGUUCACGAUCCGGAGGCGUGGAUGUCAGGGCCUCCAGCUGACUCUCCAGUCCCAGCAGAUCUUUUUUGCAGAGGGCCCUGGUUCAAGCCGCCUUCCUCUCUCACCUCCGUCCCUGCCAGCAGCCC